RNAcentral lists this ribosomal RNA (870 nucleotides) under Cellulomonas sp. VC-CS314. Its description in RNAcentral is "bacterial SSU rRNA". It matches the Rfam family "Bacterial small subunit ribosomal RNA", at positions 56 to 936 of the family's 1533-position model. Lineage: Bacteria; Bacillati; Actinomycetota; Actinomycetes; Micrococcales; Cellulomonadaceae. The record is from RNAcentral.
UGCAAGUCGAACGGUGAUGGCCAGCUUGCUGGUCUGAUCAGUGGCGAACGGGUGANUAACACGUGAGCAACCUACCCUUCACUCUGGGAUAAGCCCUGGAAACGGGGUCUAAUACCGGAUAUGAGACGUACAGGCAUCUGUAGCGUCUGGAAAGAUUUAUCGGUGGGGGAUGGGCUCGCGGCCUAUCAGCUUGUUGGUGGGGUAGUGGCCUACCAAGGCGACGACGGGUAGCCGGCCUGAGAGGGCGACCGGCCACACUGGGACUGAGACACGGCCCAGACUCCUACGGGAGGCAGCAGUGGGGAAUAUUGCACAAUGGGCGCAAGCCUGAUGCAGCGACGCCGCGUGAGGGAUGACGGCCUUCGGGUUGUAAACCUCUUUCAGCAGGGAAGAAGCGCAAGUGACGGUACCUGCAGAAGAAGCGCCGGCUAACUACGUGCCAGCAGCCGCGGUAAUACGUAGGGCGCAAGCGUUGUCCGGAAUUAUUGGGCGUAAAGAGCUCGUAGGCGGUUUGUCGCGUCUGCUGUGAAAACCUAAGGCUCAACCUUGGGCUUGCAGUGGGUACGGGCAGACUAGAGUGCGGUAGGGGUGACUGGAAUUCCUGGUGUAGCGGUGGAAUGCGCAGAUAUCAGGAGGAACACCGAUGGCGAAGGCAGGUCACUGGGCCGCAACUGACGCUGAGGAGCGAAAGCAUGGGGAGCGAACAGGAUUAGAUACCCUGGUAGUCCAUGCCGUAAACGUUGGGCACUAGGUGUGGGGCUCAUUCCACGAGUUCCGUGCCGCAGCAAACGCAUUAAGUGCCCCGCCUGGGGAGUACGGCCGCAAGGCUAAAACUCAAAGAAAUUGACGGGGGCCCGCACAAGCGGCGGA